CGCCGGGCCCCGUACAAGAGGUGACCGCCCAAACCCGCCAGGACCGGAAGGUAGCAACGGUAAGUGGUUCAUCGCUGUGUACGGACCGCCUGGCGAUG
RNAcentral lists this signal recognition particle RNA (98 nucleotides) under bacterium. RNAcentral describes it as "signal recognition particle sRNA small type". It matches the Rfam family "Bacterial small signal recognition particle RNA". From Rfam's summary of the family: The signal recognition particle (SRP) is a universally conserved ribonucleoprotein involved in the co-translational targeting of proteins to membranes. Archaeal SRP consists of a 7S RNA and homologues of the eukaryotic SRP19 and SRP54 proteins. The record is from RNAcentral.